RNAcentral lists this ribosomal RNA (2676 nucleotides) under Triticum aestivum (bread wheat). Its description in RNAcentral is "partial small subunit ribosomal RNA". The record is from RNAcentral. Lineage: Eukaryota; Viridiplantae; Streptophyta; Magnoliopsida; Poales; Poaceae.
AUGGGCGGAACGAAGCCCAACCCGAAGGCGAGAACCAAUACCCUGGCCCCCAGGGGAUCACGCGGCACCGGGAGGGGCCGUGGCAGGGGCAGGGGCAGGGGCGGGGCGGGGAGGCCCGGGGAGAAGCGCAGCCACGGGCCUCAUCUUCCCAACAAGCUGCGCCGGGAGCUCGAGUCGCUGGGACCUGCCCGCGACCGGGGCUCCGACGACGACGACGACGACGAGGAUGACGUGGUGGGCGAGGACGUGUACGAGUACGAGGAGGGGGUGCCCGAGGAGGAGGCGCGCAAGAACGACCGCUACGACGCCGUCGCCAAGUACGAGUACGACUUCGACAGCGACGACUCCAACGCGGACGAGGAUGUGCCUUCGGAUGAAGGCGAGGAUAUGGAAGAAGAUGAUGACGGAGAUAUGGAUGAGGAGAAGCAGAUAAGAAUACUCCAGGAAACGACAGGAAUGCCUAGAGAAGCCUUCGAUGGCAAUAGGAAGAAGAAGGAGAAGAAACAGGCACAGGAGCUGCUUUUGCAGCCUGGAGAUGGUCCGGUAACAAUUCAUGAUCUCUUGGAUAAUAUCCAGGAUAAGCCUGGGUAUAGCAAGAUACGUAAGAUGGUCCAGCAGCAGGAGAAAAAGCCAAUGGUCGUGCAGCCCCCACUUCCAAAAGGGCAGAGGGACAAGAUGGACCGUAGUGUGGCAUACGUCCUAUCCAAGAAGGAAAUCGGCAAGUGGGAGCGGAUAGUGAAGGACAACCGGGAAGCUGCCACGCUUCGCUUUGAAAAUGAUUUGAACUUAGGUGUCGAUACUGUUGGGGCAAUUGCUAGCAAAUUUGAACCAAGGUCAUCAUUUGAGAAGCAGAUGGCUGGUGUGUUUAACAACACGGAAAUUAUGGAAGCACACAAGAAUGAUGGUGCUAAAAUCUUGGAACUUAACAAGAUGGAGGUGGAGGAUGUGAGAGAGCGUCAAAAUCGUCUUGCUAAAAUGCGCAGCCUUCUGUUUCGUCAUGAAAUGAAAGCAAAACGUGUGAAGAAGAUUAAGUCCAGGACUUACCACCGGUUGAUGAAGAAGGACAAGCUGAAGGCAGCAGACUUGGAGGCAGAUCCUGAAGCUGCAAAAGACUCUGCUAAGAAACUAGAAUUUAAGCGUGCGGAGGAAAGGAUGACACUGAAGCACAAGAAUAAUUCGAAAUGGGCAAAGCGAAUCUUGAAGCGUGGCUUGUCUGUUCAAGACGAUGGCACUCGAGAUGCUAUUACAGCACAACUCCAACAGCAUGCUCUUCUUACUAGAAAAAUGAAUUCCAUAAAAGAUGGAUCUAGUAGUAGUGAUGAAAGUUCUGAUGACGACGACGAUGAUGAAGACGAAGAUGAAAGCAAAUUAGAAGCAAAGCUUCUGAACAGAGGGAAAGAAAAGAUUCGUAAAGUGAUUGAAGAAGAUAAUGAGAUUCCAAAGUCUGGAGUUUUUUCAUUGCCUUUCAUGGAGCGUGCUAUGAAAAAGCGUGCAGAUGCAACUUAUGAGCAAACACGGCUAGAUUAUGAAGAAUUGGAGGAAUCCUUAAGGAAAUUGGAGGAUGACAACACCGAGGAGAAUGUAGAUUCAAUGAAGGUGACAGGUAAAAGAACUUUUGGGCCUGUGAAAAGGGCACAUGAAGAGGCAAACAAGAGGCCAAAAUUAGGUGAUGCUGACAAGAACAGUGACAGUGAGUAUGACUCUGACUCUGGUCAACAUUUCGACAGCAGUGAAGUAAAUAAGAAGGCAGAAUAUGCAAAUAACAAGGCAGAUGAUGUCCAACUUGGGACUGCACUGCUCGACAAUGAACAACAGAAUGAUCUAUACAGCUUUGAUGGUACUAGAAAAAGCCAAGGCCCAAAGACAGACAUUGAAGUUCGAAUGUUAGCCGAUAAUUCGUGGAAGAAGGUCAAAAAUAGCAAAACAAAUGGUGGUAACAAUAUUAAAGAGAGUGGCAAUAAAUCCAAAGUGCAGAUCCCUUCUGUGGAUUCAAACCCUAAGCAGCCUCAAAAUUCUGAUUCAGAUUCUGAGGAAGAGAUGGUUGACGGUUUCUUGACUGUCUCUGAUGAAAAGGAAACUUAUGAACUUCCAUCGCAAGCUGAUCUUAUACGUCAAGCCUUUGCUGGUGAUGAUGUUGAAGCUGAGUUUGAGGAUGAGAAAGUGAAAGCUUUAAAUGAAGAGGAUCCUGAACCUGAAGAACCUGCACUUGUUCCUGGUUGGGGGCAGUGGACUCAUGUACAACAGAAAAGAGGACUUCCUUCAUGGAUGGUGAAAGAACAUGAAGAUGCCAAAAGGAAGAGGGAAGAAACCUUAAAGAGUAGGAAGGAUGCAAAGCUAAAACACGUUAUUAUUUCUGAGCAUGUUGACAAGAAGGCUGAAAAACUUUUAGCAACGAAUCUUCCUUUCCCGUACACCUCAAAUGAUGUGUAUGAAAAUAGCAUGCGUAUGCCUCUUGGACCUGAUUUCAACCCAGCAAUAUCACUGUCUGCUCUUAACCGACCUGCGAUUGUGAAGAAGCCUGGUGUUGUUAUUAAGCCAAUACAGUACGGGGAGAUUGAUCCGCAUGAGAAGCCUGAUGAGCUCAAGCGGGUCAUUCAGAGAGUAAAACCGAAUCCGAACAUAAAGAAGGCCUCUGCGAAACAAGCGAAGAGGACAGCUUCACAUCGGAGGAACUGA